Molecule: non-coding RNA, 479 nt
Organism: Camelina sativa (false flax)
Lineage: Eukaryota; Viridiplantae; Streptophyta; Magnoliopsida; Brassicales; Brassicaceae
Source: RefSeq, a predicted model, not a curated record
CUCUGUGCUCUCUCUCUCUCUCUCUCUCUCUCUCUCUCUCUCUCUCUCUCGUUUCUUCGAUCGUCGAUUGAUUCAAACUCAUCCUCUGGUUCUACUGUUUUUGAUUUGGAAACAGAUUGAUCCAAUUGUGAAUCCGAAUUGAGGAUCUGAUUGAUUGGAUCAUCUCAACUCAUAACUUUGAAUUGAGGAUAGAAUCUCGAAGAUCUUCCUGAGAAUGUUGAAUGCAUGAUGGAUUGUGAAGCUUUUCAGAUAUUAGAUGGAAUUAAGGGACAUUUGGUUGGGUAGUCUGAAGACCCUUCCAUUAUCUGCGGAUAUGUGUAAUUGCAAAUGCUUCUCUAGAUGAAGUUCUUGCCUUUAUUCCAUCGCUGAAGGUGAGGCCUUUAGGGCUACCAGAUUCUCAUGUAUGUGUUGUUGUUUUUUGAAAUCUAAACACUUUCACCAAAUCUUUAACAUUAAAUUUGGAUCAUAACAUUUAAACA